AUAAACAGCUCUACGGGCACUACCAGCCCGGGCAGGCGGCCCAAGUUCCCACAAGGUUCGGCCUGGGAAAACGGCGGGGCGCUCGCAGGGGCGCGAGGUCAAGUCGGGGCGGGAAGGCACCCGGAGAGUCCGGGGGCGGGAGGGGUGUGUCGGGGCCUGGAGGCCCGCCAGGCGCUGGAGGAGCUGCCGAGGAAGCUGCCGCGGCGCCCGCCUUCGCUCGGCCUCGGGCCCCGCGCCAGGGCCCGCCUCCCGCGACGCCUCACUCCCCUUCCGCCCGCCCGCCCGGCCCGUGCCUGCCCGGGGUUGCCGCGUCUCUCGCUCGCCGCCUGCCUCGGGCCCUCCUCCUCUGGGACUCCGCGCUCCCGGGAUCCCCUCCCGCUCUUUUCCUCCCCGAGUCCCGCCGCCCGCCUCGCCAACCUCCGCCUUUACCUGCCGCGGGAGCGGGGCGUCGAAGCCCCCGGGCCGUGUCGUCGAGUAAGCGCCGCGGGUCCGCAACCCUUUCCCGCCGCCGCCAGCCACUACGCUCUCCGGCGCGGCGCUGCGCGGCGCGGGGCUGGCGAGCAGCUGUGUCCGCGGGGCGGGGGUGGGGGAGAUGCAGCGAGCGUGCGGAGCGAGGACACACUGCCGCUCUCCGUCCGACCGGGGAAGAGCAGCCGCGCAGGAGCCCGCCGCGAGAGGGCGGGUGGGCGGCCGCGUGGGGAGGGGUCUCGCGGCCGCCGCAAUGGCUGCCACGUAGCCAGGUGGAUCUCCGCCCCCGCCCCGGGGCCGCGACCUCUGCUGCUCCGCACACCCCCCACCCACCCACCCCGGGCUCUCCAGGAUGCGUCGGCCCGCGCCCGCCACGGCGCCGGCCCGGAGACCCGAGCCCACCGGUGCUGGCGCCUCGCUGGCUCCGUUACGAGAAGUGAGUCCCGGGCCUGGCGGGAGGCGCAGCCCGGGACCCGCGGGGCCCCCCCGAGGCUCUCCCGGAAGCUUGCGGCCCGCCGCUGUCCCCCGAGGGCUCCGGGGAAAGGCAGGCGCGGGGACCCCCCCUACUGCUGCCCGUGUAAGCGCCCCGGUGAGCCGCGGCCGGGUCUAACCCUCACCUCUCUCCCGAGCCCGAAAAGCAAAACAAGGUCGUUCUGGCCCCGGGCAGCGAGGGAGGAACUAGGAGCUGGGGCGGGCGGGACUGCAGCUGCGAGGUCGGCGGGGCGAGGCGAUGGGCCCCGCGCUCUCCCCCACGGGGGCCCGCUCACUCGGGGCGGACGGGCGGCGGCGCCCCGCGGGAACAAAGGGCCCCGCCGCCCCAGCAACCGGGACGGAGGCUGCCGGGAUCCAGCCCGCGCCGCCAACGUGCGGUCGGAACCCGCUGGCCUGAGCCCAAAAGAGCUGCGGCCUUUGCCAGUGUGGAGCUGGAGUUUUCAGGAAUCUGGGAAGAGGUAGGAAAACACAGCAUGUGCACCGCUUCAGCUCAACGCCCAGGAAAGAUAGCAGCAGCAAAGAAUCAGCUCAUUGUGUGGAAUCCUAGCACUUGAGAGGCAGAGGCAAGAGGAUCAAGAGUUCAGGGCUAGCCUACACAUCAAAUUUGAGACCAGCAAGCUAUUAAGAGUAUGUCUCAGAAAGGAAAGAAAAAAAACAGCACUUCUUGGAAAUUCUAUCCCCAUUACUGAGAUUUUUCAUAAUUUGCUCACUCUAGCCUUGCUAUCCUGCUCCUGCUAACCAGACAAUAGUCUAUGACUAAGCCUUCCUUAAAGCUUUCCCUACAAGACAAGAGUGUCUCGAGAUGGUGGUAAAAUAAGCAACCUGCGUUGUAUUCUUAUUAUAGCAAAUUAACAGUCUAGUUUACACAUUACUCUAUGAGACAAUAUUAGGAAAACCUAGGGAUUCAUGGAGCAAAAAUUUUAACUGAUAUUUUUUCUACAUUACUGAGUCAG
Molecule: long non-coding RNA, 1913 nt
Organism: Mus spicilegus (steppe mouse)
Lineage: Eukaryota; Metazoa; Chordata; Mammalia; Rodentia; Muridae
Source: Ensembl